UACGUAGGGUGCGAGCGUUAAUCGGAAUUACUGGGCGUAAAGCGUGCGCAGGCGGUUUUGUAAGGCAGAUGUGAAAUCCCCGAGCUCAACUUGGGAACUGCGUUUGAAACUACAAGACUAGAGUAGGUCAGAGGGGGGUAGAAUUCCACGUGUAGCAGUGAAAUGCGUAGAGAUGUGGAGGAAUACCAAUGGCGAAGGCAGCCCCCUGGGAUCAUACUGACGCUCAUGCACGAAAGCGUGGGGAGCAAACAGG
This 253-nucleotide ribosomal RNA is filed under the name uncultured bacterium. RNAcentral's name for it is "partial 16S ribosomal RNA". It matches the Rfam family "Bacterial small subunit ribosomal RNA", at positions 524 to 776 of the family's 1533-position model. The record is from RNAcentral.